AGACGUCUACAUUAGAUACCCCCGUAGUCCCAGCCCUAAACGAUGCGCGUUAGGUGUAUCGGUGACCACGAGUCACCGAGGUGCCGAAGGGAAACCGUGAAACGUGCCGCCUGGGAAGUACGGUCGCAAGGCUGAAACUUAAGGAAUUGGCGGGGAGCACCACAACGGGUGGAGCCUUGCGGUUUAAUUGGACUCAACGCCGGGAAGCUCACCGGAUAAGACAGCGGAAUGAUUGCCGGGCUGAAGACCCUGCAUGACCAGCUG
Molecule: ribosomal RNA, 264 nt
Filed under: uncultured archaeon
Lineage: Archaea
Description: partial 16S ribosomal RNA
Rfam family: Archaeal small subunit ribosomal RNA
Source: RNAcentral